CAUUGAGGGCAGCACGCGAGUCACGCAUGCAUCAGCCAAUCGAAGGAGGAGCUGCACACCGACAGCCCCCGCCCACAGUUGGAUGACUUCAUUGUAUCAGAAGCACUUCAUUCAAGGUGGGUGUUCUCAUUGAACUACUUGGCAAUAAACCGUUGCAUUCAUCAAGCUUGCCAAAGUUAACUUGCCACUAGUGUGUUAAACUGACUUUAAUCAGUUUCCUAUACUAUGGUGAUAUCACUAAAGUGUUUGGUGUGACCCAAGGAGAAUUAAUGAAGAACAGGUGUGACCACACGCCAGGAAUGGCAUUGCUCAUUGCGUGGCCAAAAAUUAUGUCCACGUGUCUGGCAGCACUUGCUCACGUUAUCUAAUGUAAUCGUUUCUUUCCAUCUUAACCAUCGAGCAAAACCGUCUCUAAAUAUAUCCUGAUGUAGUCUAGUUAAAAUAAUGCUUCCUCAAAAUAGAGCCCAAUCUAAGUUGUAAGCCAACAUGAUGAGCUAAUGUUGUUCAAUAUAUGACACAUUUUCUCUUUUGUAGGUUUUGGUCUGUGCACUCAAGUCCUUCUUUAGAUAGGUGCAGAACAGUAUUCACAAUACACAACAUAACCCCCUCCCCCCUCCACUCAAACACAGGUCAUUGUUUUAAUAUAAUUCUCUCUUCUUUUAAAGGUUUCUUGCUGUGUGACUAUAGUCAGUUUUGAACCUAAGCACUGAAGCAAGACGUGAAGCAGUUUUCCGUGCUCUCAUACUGUACCCGGGGGAGGAGGAGGAUGACCUUUUUGAAGAUUGCUGGGUAAUACAUGAUUUUAUUUGAACAGGGUACAGUGCAUUUGGUGCGACAGAUGUCACCAGCUUGUCAUUCAUGUGUCAUGGGUGCCAUUUAGCCAGUCUUGUUCCAAGUCUUUGGUGCCAUUUACUGGCCAUGGCAAUUCAUCUUGGUAUUGAAUAUGGACAUUACAAUGAAAUUGGAAUGUCUGUAAGAUGAGGAGAUGCAUUGUAUACCAGUAAUUUAACAUGGUAAACAUGCUUAUUUGAUAUUUGUUCAUGACUGUGUGCCGAUAAAGAAAGAUGUCAGCUAAUUCAAAUGAUUGAAACGGUUCUAUUUUUCUCGUUAAUUGCAUGUAGCAGGACAAUCGCAGCAAUGCAGCUGAGCAUACCCUCAAGAUCCUGGUGGUUCAUGGGGCUGAGGGAGAGGAUCCAGUAGAUGUCUCCGUCCUUGUAGAAGCACAGGAGAUACUGCCUGCAUGCGGUGACACCGCGAAAGCCUGAAUGCUGUUGAUGUGGGUGAUCUACGCCCUCAACCUGGCCUACACCACUCCACUGCGCUACACCUUUGAGGUAUUUCAAAAAAUUUUGCUAGGACCGAACGCAGUGAAGCUCUAAAUUCCACAAUCUGAGGGUGAAGAUGUUAUCAUGAAGCAACAUCACACACCCUCAGACAGUGACCCAAGCCCUCACCUGUUAUUUAUUUUUACCUGUUGUAACCUGUUGGCUGAUGUUCCUGUUUUCAACCUGUAGUUCAAAAUGUAUCUUCAAAAUACGGUUGCGCACAUUUUGGUGCAAUAGUGUUUUAAAAUUAACAAUAUUAAGAUUUUGAUUUAAUUUAAGAGUUAAAAAAAUCAUUUGACAGUAUAACACAUAAUUUUCUUAUACUGGGCUGAAGAUGUUUGUAUGGGGCUAGAUUGCUGCCAGAUGUUUAUUUUUUUGUGGGGUAUCUUGGAAAUAUGACAUGUAUUUGUGUCCUCUUUCAC
Hippocampus comes (tiger tail seahorse) is the source of this 1747-nucleotide long non-coding RNA. RefSeq lists it as uncharacterized. Lineage: Eukaryota; Metazoa; Chordata; Actinopteri; Syngnathiformes; Syngnathidae. The transcript is spliced from 2 exons. The record is from RefSeq and is a predicted model, not a curated record.